AUGGGUUUUACUGGCUUCGGCCGCAAUCCCCCACCCUUCAAAACAGCGGCUAAGGUUCGGCGCCUAGGCGAGGCCGCCCCCCGUUCGCGGGGGGUGGCACCGCCCGCCGGAAUCUCGCAACCCUGCCUGAAAAUUUGCAGUCUGAGAAAAAUGAUAAAUUAGCGA
This 165-nucleotide unclassified non-coding RNA is filed under the name uncultured Pleosporales. RNAcentral describes it as "sequence contains ITS1". Lineage: Eukaryota; Fungi; Ascomycota; Dothideomycetes; Pleosporales. The record is from RNAcentral.